GGGAAUUUUGCGCAAUGGGGGAAACCCUGACGCAGCAACGCCGCGUGGAGGAUGAAAUCCCUUGGGAUGUAAACUCCUUUCGAUCGGGACGAUAAUGACGGUACCGAUAGAAGAAGCCCCGGCUAACUUCGUGCCAGCAGCCGCGGUAAUACGAGGGGGGCAAGCGUUGUUCGGAAUUAUUGGGCGUAAAGGGUGCGUAGGCGGUUUCGCAAGUUCUAUGUGAAAUCUAUGGGCUCAACCCAUAGUCUGCAUGGGAAACUGCGAGGCUUGAGAAUGGGAGAGGUGAGUGGAAUUUCCGGUGUAGCGGUGAAAUGCGUAGAUAUCGGAAGGAACACCUGUGGCGAAGGCGGCGACCUGGUUCAUGACUGACACUGAGGGACGAAAGCUAGGGGAGCGAA
This 398-nucleotide ribosomal RNA is filed under the name uncultured bacterium. Its description in RNAcentral is "bacterial SSU rRNA". It matches the Rfam family "Bacterial small subunit ribosomal RNA", at positions 357 to 772 of the family's 1533-position model. The record is from RNAcentral.